Molecule: ribosomal RNA, 927 nt
Filed under: Salmonella enterica subsp. enterica serovar Typhimurium
Lineage: Bacteria; Pseudomonadati; Pseudomonadota; Gammaproteobacteria; Enterobacterales; Enterobacteriaceae
Description: partial 23S ribosomal RNA
Rfam family: Bacterial large subunit ribosomal RNA
Source: RNAcentral
UGAGGGAAAGGCGAAAAGAACCCCGGCGAGGGGAGUGAAAAAGAACCUGAAACCGUGUACGUACAAGCAGUGGGAGCACAGGUUUACCUGUGUGACUGCGUACCUUUUGUAUAAUGGGUCAGCGACUUAUAUUCUGUAGCAAGGUUAACCGUAUAGGGGAGCCGUAGGGAAACCGAGUCUUAACCGGGCGUUAAGUUGCAGGGUAUAGACCCGAAACCCGGUGAUCUAGCCAUGGGCAGGUUGAAGGUUGGGUAACACUAACUGGAGGACCGAACCGACUAAUGUUGAAAAAUUAGCGGAUGACCUGUGGCUGGGGGUGAAAGGCCAAUCAAACCGGGAGAUAGCUGGUUCUCCCCGAAAGCUAUUUAGGUAGCGCCUCGUGAAUUCAUCUCCGGGGGUAGAGCACUGUUUCGGCUAGGGGGCCAUCCCGGCUUACCAACCCGAUGCAAACUGCGAAUACCGGAGAAUGUUAUCACGGGAGACACACGGCGGGUGCUAACGUCCGUCGUGAAGAGGGAAACAACCCAGACCGCCAGCUAAGGUCCCAAAGUCAUGGUUAAGUGGGAAACGAUGUGGGAAGGCCCAGACAGCCAGGAUGUUGGCUUAGAAGCAGCCAUCAUUUAAAGAAAGCGUAAUAGCUCACUGGUCGAGUCGGCCUGCGCGGAAGAUGUAACGGGGCUAAACCAUGCACCGAAGCUGCGGCAGCGAACGUAUCACUUAAAGCGAUUCAGCGGGUUACGAUUGACGGAGCGAAGCGACGUCAAAGCGUAUACAAAGUCGAGUCGGUUUAAGGAUACGUUCGUUGGGUAGGGGAGCGUUCUGUAAGCCCGUGAAGGUGGCCUGUGAGGGUUGCUGGAGGUAUCAGAAGUGCGAAUGCUGACAUAAGUAACGAUAAAGCGGGUGAAAAGCCCGCUCGCCGGAAGACCA